Long non-coding RNA from Trichoplusia ni (cabbage looper), 1282 nucleotides. RefSeq lists it as uncharacterized. The record is from RefSeq and is a predicted model, not a curated record. NCBI's taxonomy places the organism in Eukaryota, Metazoa, Arthropoda, Insecta, Lepidoptera, Noctuidae. The transcript is spliced from 2 exons.
CGACUUAGAGCCUACGUGCGGAAAAAGGAGCCCAUCACCAAGAUACCGGAAUUUUGCCGAAAAGACACUUGUAUUCCAGUCAGAUCUCACAGUGCCCAUGUGCGGUCAUUACACGACACUGGCAGAAAUUGCUAAAACAAUUAGCAGAUUGCUAUAAAAAAAAAAACUGUUGUUUUAUAUUUUUAACGGGAAUUUUUGUAACCCUUUCUCUUAUUAUUGGAACAAUAUUUCUAUUGGUAUUUCCUACUACUUCUGUUCGUUCAAAGCGUGUUUUAUCCUUGCCCCUUCUGUUAUUUACUAGUCCGGUACAAAUUAUAUCUCCGGUAUUUAGAUCUAUAUUCUCUCCAGGCUUUUGCCUAUUUAUUUUAUCUUGAUUCAUCGUUUCUGACAGAUAGUUAUAUAAGACUGAACUUCUGUCUUUAUGUUCUCUUAAAAGUUGUUGAGUGUAAUUGCAUUCUUUAUUUGUAUCAAAAGUACUUUUAGUUUUGGUAUGUCCAAAAGUUACUUCAAAAGGUGAUAAAUCGAAAAGGUAAUAACAGAUGCGGCGGCUUGUGUUGAUAUUUAGCAAUUCUAUAGAUUUUAGUUAUAGUGGAAUGAAAUCUUUUUACUAUUCCCAUUGAAUUAAGAUUAUUCGGUGUCCCUAUGUGUAGCUGUAUCUUAUAAAACAUUAUAGCUUUCUUCAUUAAAUUAUUAUUAAAUUCUGUUCCUGGAUCACAACUUAUCCUUUCAGGUACUUAUUCUUUACUCUAUUUUACUUACUCAGGUUAAAUAUUUUUCAUAUUAUGGAGCUCGAAUUAUCUCUGUUGUGGAUCUAUUUUUAAUUUCAAUUGCUAGUGCUAACUGCGAAAAAGAAUCAAUAAGGGUUAAGUAUGAGAUUCCUUCUAUAGAAAGUAUGUCUAUAUAAAUUUCUUUGAAAGGUUUAGUUGGGGUUUGCUUUAAUUGCAGUUUAGGUUCAAUGGGAUUCCUAUCAUAUUUCAUUUUUUUACAUAUUCCUAUUUUGAUACUGGGUCAUAUACUUAAAAAGACUUAUUUUCUCUUAAUGAACAUAUUAUUUUAUUUCUAUUUAAAUACAACAAAACCUUUUAUGUGCUUGCCAUAGUGAGAAGAGAAAUGACAUAAGAAACAAUGGUAACUUCACUUAGAAAAAUAUAAAUGUAUACCAAUGUAAACAUACUAAUAUUCUAACAAUUUCACUAGCAUUAAUAAUUUGGGAUAUUAAGUUUUGCAUAUGAGCCAAUAAUAAUUUCUUUUUAAUUGAUUAUAUGUUUCCGAUAUUCCACGA